RNAcentral lists this ribosomal RNA (223 nucleotides) under uncultured bacterium. RNAcentral's name for it is "partial 16S ribosomal RNA". It matches the Rfam family "Bacterial small subunit ribosomal RNA", at positions 328 to 539 of the family's 1533-position model. The record is from RNAcentral.
ACGCUCGACACCUACGGGAGGCGGCAGUAGGGAAUCUUCCACAAUGGGCGCAAGCCUGAUGGAGCAACACCGCGUGAGUGAAGAAGGGUUUCGGCUCGUAAAGCUCUGUUGUUGGAGAAGAACGUGCGUGAGAGUAACUGUUCACGCAGUGACGGUAUCCAACCAGAAAGUCACGGCUAACUACGUGCCAACAGCCGCGGUAAUCUGAGCGGGCUGGCAAGGC